UUACGGGAGGCAGCAGUGGGGAAUCUUCCGCAAUGGGGGAAACCCUGACGGAGCGACGCCGCGUGGACGAUGAAGGCCGUAAGGUUGUAAAGUCCUUUUGCAGGCGAAGAAUAAUGAGGGGAGUGGAAAGCCCUUCAGAUGACGUUAGCCUGCGAAUAAGCCCCGGCCAAUUACGUGCCAGCAGCCGCGGUAAUACGUAUGGGGCAAGCGUUGUUCGGAGUUAUUGGGCGUAGGGGGCGUGUAGGCGGCGCGCUUUGUCUGGUGUGAAAACGCAGGGCUUAACCCUGCGGUUGCGCUGGAAACGGGCGUGCUAGAGUUCCGAGGGGGAAGCUGGAAUUCCAGGUGUAGGGGUGAAAUCUGUAGAGAUCUGGAAGAACACCGGUGGCGAAGGCGAGCUUCUAUUCGAGGACUGACGCUGAGGCGCGAAAGCGUGGGGAGCAAACAGGAUUAGAUACCCUUGUAGUCC
RNAcentral lists this ribosomal RNA (466 nucleotides) under uncultured bacterium. RNAcentral describes it as "bacterial SSU rRNA". It matches the Rfam family "Bacterial small subunit ribosomal RNA", at positions 339 to 796 of the family's 1533-position model. The record is from RNAcentral.